RNAcentral lists this transfer RNA (59 nucleotides) under Erinaceus europaeus (western European hedgehog). The record is from Rfam by way of RNAcentral. Lineage: Eukaryota; Metazoa; Chordata; Mammalia; Eulipotyphla; Erinaceidae.
UGUGGUAUACUACAUGCCUUGAAUGCAUAAAGUCCUGGGUUAGAUCCCCAGUACUACAU